This 103-nucleotide microRNA precursor is filed under the name Marmota monax (woodchuck). The record is from RNAcentral. Lineage: Eukaryota; Metazoa; Chordata; Mammalia; Rodentia; Sciuridae.
AGGGGAAUAGCUAGGUCAAAUGGUGGUUCCAUUCUCAGCUUUCUAAGGAAUCUCCAUACUGCUUUCCAAAUUGGCUGCACCAAUUUGCAGUCCCAUCAGCAAG